This 202-nucleotide non-coding RNA is filed under the name Clostridium kluyveri. Its description in RNAcentral is "T-box sequence". It matches the Rfam family "T-box leader". From Rfam's summary of the family: Uncharged tRNA acts as the effector for transcription antitermination of genes in the T-box leader family. Lineage: Bacteria; Bacillati; Bacillota; Clostridia; Eubacteriales; Clostridiaceae. The record is from RNAcentral.
UAUUGUCUUAUGAAGAGAAUAGUAACAUGAGUUCAGGUAAAAGAGAGUCAGUGGUUGGUGUAAACUGGUACCCAUACUUUUGUGAAUCCGCCUUGGAGGAUUAUUAUGAUGAAUAAUACGGAAAACCGUUAUUUGAGUUGAGAGAAUUAUACAUAAAAGGUAUAAUUAAUAAGGGUGGCAACGCGAGUCAAUCGUCCCUAAA